GACGAACGCUGGCGGCGUGCUUAACACAUGCAAGUCGAACGGGAUGAUCUUAAAGCUUGCUUUUAGAGAAUCUAGUGGCAAACGGGUGAGUAACACGUAGACAACCUGCCGACAGGAUGGGGACAACAUUCCGAAAGGAAUGCUAAUACCGAAUGAAGUCAGAGGAGGGCAUCCUCCUCUGAUGAAAGAUGGCCUCUUUUUAUGCUAUCACCUGUUGAUGGUCUGCGUCUGAUUAGCUAGUUGGUGAGGUAACGGCUCACCAAGGCGACGAUCAGUAGCCGGUCUGAGAGGAUGAACGGCCACAUUGGGACUGAGACACGGCCCAGACUCCUACGGGAGGCAGCAGUGGGGAAUCUUCCGCAAUGGGCGCAAGUCUGACGGAGCAACGCCGCGUGAGUGAAGAAGGUCUUCGGAUCGUAAAGCUCUGUUGACGGGGACGAACGUGCGGAGUGCGAACAGCGCUUUGUAAUGACG
This 474-nucleotide ribosomal RNA is filed under the name Selenomonas sp. oral taxon F19. RNAcentral's name for it is "bacterial SSU rRNA". It matches the Rfam family "Bacterial small subunit ribosomal RNA", at positions 28 to 474 of the family's 1533-position model. Lineage: Bacteria; Bacillati; Bacillota; Negativicutes; Selenomonadales; Selenomonadaceae. The record is from RNAcentral.